UGCUGAUUUUAUUGAAGAUAAUGUGCGCCAAAUAUUUAGAUAUCAAGCCAUCAAAUGCGAGCAACAAAGAGGACGCUUUGACUGUGGUGUGUUCGUCUACCUCUUUGUAAAAUCCAUAAUUGAAGGACGAUCAACAUUGCUGGUUAAUCCUCCGAACGAUAUCCCUGAAGCUAUGCGAGCAAGACUUGCCGCACAAUUAUUACUGGCUGGUUUUGAACAAAGACAUAAAGAAGAAACAGUGUACAGUGAUGAAUGAUAUGUUCAUACAAAUACAAUAAUGUAUGUAUAUUUAAGUAAUUGAAAAUGAUUGUUAUCAGAUGUAUUGUUCUAUCUGUACCAUGUUCGUUCUA
Molecule: long non-coding RNA, 350 nt
Organism: Asparagus officinalis (garden asparagus)
Lineage: Eukaryota; Viridiplantae; Streptophyta; Magnoliopsida; Asparagales; Asparagaceae
Exons: 2
Source: RefSeq, a predicted model, not a curated record